This 137-nucleotide ribosomal RNA is filed under the name uncultured eukaryote. RNAcentral's name for it is "partial 18S ribosomal RNA". It matches the Rfam family "Eukaryotic small subunit ribosomal RNA", at positions 1299 to 1458 of the family's 1831-position model. The record is from RNAcentral.
UGGUGGAGUGAUUUGUCUGGUUAAUUCCGAUAACGAACGAGACCUUAACCUGCUAACUAGUUUUAUCUAUUUUAUAGAAUAAGACUUCUUAGAGGGACUAUGUCACGAAAAGUGCAUGGAAGUUUGAGGCAAUAACA